Molecule: non-coding RNA, 68 nt
Organism: Ostertagia ostertagi
Lineage: Eukaryota; Metazoa; Nematoda; Chromadorea; Rhabditida; Trichostrongylidae
Source: the annotation of a GenBank genome assembly
CGCUCCAGGCGGGAUUCGAACCCGCAUCUCUUAGCAAGAAUGAGUGUCACCAGUUCCACCACCAGAGC